GUAGGUGGCAAGCGUUGUCCGGAAUUAUUGGGCGUAAAGCGCGCGCAGGCGGUCCUUUAAGUCUGAUGUGAAAGCCCACGGCUCAACCGUGGAGGGUCAUUGGAAACUGGGGGACUUGAGUACAGAAGAGGAAAGCGGAAUUCCAAGUGUAGCGGUGAAAUGCGUAGAGAUUUGGAGGAACACCAGUGGCGAAGGCGGCUUUCUGGUCUGUAACUGACGCUGAGGCGCGAAAGCGUGGGGAGCAAACAGGGAUUAGAUACCCUGGUAGUCCACGCCGUGAACGAUGAGUGCUAAGUGUUAGGGGGUUUCCGCCCCCUUAGUGCUGCAGCUAACGCAUUAAGCACUCCGCCUGGGGAGUACGGCCGCAAGGCUG
RNAcentral lists this ribosomal RNA (373 nucleotides) under uncultured organism. RNAcentral describes it as "partial 16S ribosomal RNA". It matches the Rfam family "Bacterial small subunit ribosomal RNA", at positions 527 to 896 of the family's 1533-position model. The record is from RNAcentral.